GACGUACCAUUCCAAUCCCGUGGAAGAAUUUAUUUUCUCCUUGAAGUACAGUACCCUGCACAGAAAUUGGGACAGCGAUUUUUCUGUCCUAAACCACCUAGCGACUGGUCACAAAAAUAUAUGGCUGUCUUCAUCAUUCCCUGACAACUGAAAAGUGCGGAAAAGUGUCCCACACUGGAAGAGGGUGAGCUGGUUGAAGACGAGAAGUCUGUGGAUUUUGAUUACCCUGGUGGGGAUCAUGAUUUUUACGAGGGAGAUAAGGAUGACCAACAGAUGGAUGCCAAUUGACUAUAACAGUGACAAGGAAGACAAGCAGGGAAGUGGAAGGGAUGAGGAUGGCGAAGAUUCUGCUGAAAGUUUGUCAGAGGAUGAUGGGCAGCCAGAAGCCAAACGAAUGGAAAUUGAAAAAUGAAAAACGGAAAAAAAUGCAUCACCUACAAUACCUAUACUUCAGAUUUAAAAUUCUCGUUCUUAUAUUCCAUACCUGCCAUUUUUCUUUCUACUUCUUCGCACAAGU
Daphnia pulicaria is the source of this 517-nucleotide long non-coding RNA. RefSeq lists it as uncharacterized. The transcript is spliced from 5 exons. NCBI's taxonomy places the organism in Eukaryota, Metazoa, Arthropoda, Branchiopoda, Diplostraca, Daphniidae. The record is from RefSeq and is a predicted model, not a curated record.